AUUGAACGCUGGCGGCGUGCUUAACACAUGCAAGUCGUGCGGUAACAGGCGUAGCAAUACGUGCUGACGAGCGGCGAACGGGUGCGUAAUACAUGGGAAUCUGCCCUUUAGUGGGGAAUAACCCGGCGAAAGCCGGGCUAAUGCCGCAUAAGAUCUUCGGAUGAAAGCGGGGGAUCGUAAGACCUCGCGCUGAUGGAUGAGCCCAUGUCGGAUUAGCUAGUGGUGAGGUAACGGCUCACCAAGGCGACGAUCCGUAGCUGGUCUGAGAGGACGGCCAGCCACACUGGGACUGGAGACACGGCCCAGACUCCUACGGGAGGCAGCAGUGGGAAUAUUGGACAAUGGGGAAACCCUGAUCCAGCGACGCCGCGUGUGUGAGGAAGGCCUGCGGGUUGUAAAGCACUUUCGGU
RNAcentral lists this ribosomal RNA (410 nucleotides) under uncultured bacterium. Its description in RNAcentral is "bacterial SSU rRNA". It matches the Rfam family "Bacterial small subunit ribosomal RNA", at positions 30 to 440 of the family's 1533-position model. The record is from RNAcentral.